RNAcentral lists this ribosomal RNA (252 nucleotides) under uncultured bacterium. Its description in RNAcentral is "partial 16S ribosomal RNA". It matches the Rfam family "Bacterial small subunit ribosomal RNA", at positions 524 to 776 of the family's 1533-position model. The record is from RNAcentral.
UACGUAGGUCCCGAGCGUUGUCCGGAUUUAUUGGGCGUAAAGCGAGCGCAGGUGGUUUAUUAAGUCUGGUGUAAAAGGCAGUGGCUCAACCAUUGUAUGCAUUGGAAACUGGUAGACUUGAGUGCAGGAGAGGAGAGUGGAAUUCCAUGUGUAGCGGUUAAAUGCGUAGAUAUAUGGAGGAACACCGGUGGCGAAAGCGGCUCUCUGGCCUGUAACUGACACUGAGGCUCGAAAGCGUGGGGAGCAAACAGG